CCUCUCUCCAUGUGCUUGCAGUCUGGGACUGUGCCUUGGAGUUUGGGACCGAGGGGGAGCCAGGCUGCUGCCAAGGACACUGAUCCAGUGGAGGGGCUGUCGGAUGCAGCUACAGACCGGGACUAGACUCCUGUUGGAACUGGGAUCUAGCCGGCUGCUUCCGAUAGGCACAGCACGAGGCGGGCCUGGGCACAUUCGGGCAGCUACAAAUGGACAUCGUUGCUCAGCAAUCACUGGGGCUCUGAGUCUGCACCAGCGCAGGAUCGGGCACCUCGGACAAGUCCCACAGGCCUUUCUCCUUCCCUUGCCUCUGCCUGGUACAGCCAUGGACAGCCCCAGAGCUACUGAGCGGGAUCCCUGGCCACUCCUGUAACCUGACUAAUAAACACUGCUCCC
Non-coding RNA from Pelodiscus sinensis (Chinese soft-shelled turtle), 396 nucleotides. The record is from RefSeq and is a predicted model, not a curated record. NCBI's taxonomy places the organism in Eukaryota, Metazoa, Chordata, Testudines, Trionychidae.